UACGUAGGUGGCAAGCGUUGUCCGGAUUUACUGGGCGUAAAGGAUGCGUAGGCGGAUAUUUAAGUGGGAUGUGAAAUACCCGGGCUCAACCUGGGUGCUGCAUUCCAAACUGGAUAUCUGGAGUGCGGGAGAGGAGAAUGGAAUUCCUAGUGUAGCGGUGAAAUGCGUAGAGAUUAGGAAGAACACCAGUGGCGAAGGCGACUUUCUGGACCGUAACUGACGCUGAGGCAUGAAAGCGUGGGGAGCAAACAGG
Molecule: ribosomal RNA, 253 nt
Filed under: uncultured bacterium
Lineage: Bacteria
Description: partial 16S ribosomal RNA
Rfam family: Bacterial small subunit ribosomal RNA
Source: RNAcentral